AACGAACGCUGGCGGCAUGCCUAACACAUGCAAGUCGAACGAGACCUUCGGGUCUAGUGGCGCACGGGUGCGUAACGCGUGGGAACCUGCCCUUAGGUUCGGAAUAACUCCCCGAAAGGGGUGCUAAUACCGGAUAAUGUCUUCGGACCAAAGAUUUAUCGCCUUUGGAUGGGCCCGCGUUGGAUUAGCUAGUUGGUAGGGUAAAAGCCUACCAAGGCGACGAUCCAUAGCUUGUCUGAGAGGAUGAUCAGCCACACUGGGACUGAGACACGGCCCAGACUCCUACGGGAGGCAGCAGUGGGGAAUAGUGGACAAUGGGCGAAAGCAUGAUCCAGCAAUGACGGGUGAGUGAUGAAGGCCUUAGGGUUGUAAAGCUCUUUUAACCGGGAUGAUAAUGACAGUACCGGGAGAAUAAGCGCCGGCUAACUCCGUG
This 433-nucleotide ribosomal RNA is filed under the name uncultured bacterium. Its description in RNAcentral is "partial 16S ribosomal RNA". It matches the Rfam family "Bacterial small subunit ribosomal RNA", at positions 29 to 507 of the family's 1533-position model. The record is from RNAcentral.